This 72-nucleotide transfer RNA is filed under the name Camelus bactrianus (Bactrian camel). It matches the Rfam family "tRNA". Rfam says of the family: Transfer RNA (tRNA) molecules are approximately 80 nucleotides in length. Their secondary structure includes four short double-helical elements and three loops (D, anti-codon, and T loops). RNAcentral also lists the same sequence under 2 other names. Lineage: Eukaryota; Metazoa; Chordata; Mammalia; Artiodactyla; Camelidae. The record is from Rfam by way of RNAcentral.
GAGGGUAUAGCACAGUGGUAGACUGCAUGCUUAGCAUGCUUGAGGUCCUGGGUUUGAUCCCCAGUACCUCCA